This is a transfer RNA of 74 nucleotides. It matches the Rfam family "tRNA". From Rfam's summary of the family: Transfer RNA (tRNA) molecules are approximately 80 nucleotides in length. Their secondary structure includes four short double-helical elements and three loops (D, anti-codon, and T loops). Further hydrogen bonds mediate the characteristic L-shaped molecular structure. tRNAs have two regions of fundamental functional importance: the anti-codon, which is responsible for specific mRNA codon recognition, and the 3' end, to which the tRNAs corresponding amino acid is attached (by aminoacyl-tRNA synthetases). tRNAs cope with the degeneracy of the genetic code in two manners: having more than one tRNA (with a specific anti-codon) for a particular amino acid; and 'wobble' base-pairing, i.e. permitting non-standard base-pairing at the 3rd anti-codon position. The record is from Rfam.
GCGCCCUUAGCUCAGUCGGAUAGAGCAACGGCCUUCUAAGCCGUGGGUCGCAGGUUCGAAUCCUGCAGGGCGCG